RNAcentral lists this ribosomal RNA (1412 nucleotides) under metagenome. Its description in RNAcentral is "SSU rRNA". It matches the Rfam family "Eukaryotic small subunit ribosomal RNA", at positions 334 to 1801 of the family's 1831-position model. The record is from RNAcentral.
GAUUGGACUAACUAGCGGAUUACGGGUACGAAGAAUUAGGGUUUGAUAUCGAAGAGGGAGCCUGAGAAACGGCUACCACUUCUAAGGAAGGCAGCAGGAGCGUAAAUUACCCAAUUCUGAUUCAGAGAGGUAGUGACAAGAAAUAAUAACUCGGAUAGUUCUACUAUUACGAGAUUAAAAUGAGAACAAUUUAAAGAUCUUAACGAGGAACAAUAAGAGGACAAGUCUGGUGCCAGCACCCGCGGUAAUUCCAGCUCUUAAAGUGUAUAUUAAAGUUGUUGCAGUUAAAAAGCUCGUAGUCUAUCAUCUAGUGCUGCACGCGAUGGCUCACGCUUUCGCGGCGCAGUACUAUCAGUUCGAGAACUUCUCCUACCUUAACUGGUCGAAGAUGCUGAUCGGACGUUUUCCUGAGAAAAAAUUAGAGUGUUCAAAGCAGGCUAAUGCAAUGAAUAUUACAGCUUGGAAUAAUAGAAUAAGACUAAAGUCUCUUUUGUUGGUUAUGAACUUUAGUAAUGAUUAACAUAAACAGUCGGGGGUAUUAGUAUUUAAGUGUCAGAGGUGAAAUUCUAUGAUUACUUAAAGACUAACUUAUGCGAAAGCAUUUACCAAGGAUGUUUUCAUUGAUCAAGAACGAAAGUUAGGGGAUCAAAGACGAUCAGAUACCGUCCUAGUCUUAACUAUAAACGUUUCCGACCAAGGAUCGGGCAGGUUUGCUAAGCCUGUUCGGCACUUUAUGAGAAAUCAUUCUUUGGGUUCCGGGGGAAGUACGGACACAAGUCUGAAACUUAAAGGAAUUGACGGAAGGGCACACAAGAUGUGGAGACUGCGGCUUAAUUUGACACAACACGGGGAAACUUACUAGGGCAAGACUAAGGUUGGAUUGACAGAUUAAGAGCUCUUUCUUGAUUCUUAGGGUGGUGGUGCAUGGCCGUUCUUAGUUGGUGAGGCGACUUGUCUGCUUAAUUGCGUUAACGAACGAGACUUCAACCUGCUAAACUAGGAGCCGGAUUACUCAUCCGGUUUCCUUCUUAGAGGGACAAUGUAUUUCAAGUACAAGGAAGUUUGAGGCAAUAACAGGUCUGAGAUGCCCCUAGACGUCCUAGGCCGCACGCGUUCUACAAUGAUGUAUUCAGCGAGUAUCUUCCAGCCCUGGAAAGGUGCGGGUAAUCUUCAUAGGAUACAUCGUGCUUUGGAAUAAUCCUUUGCAAUUAUAGGAUUUAAACCAGGAAUAUCUAGUAUAGGUGCGUCAUCAGCGCACCUAGAUUAAGUCCCUGCCCUUUGUACACACCGCCCGUCGCUCCUACCGAUUGAGUGAUUAGGUGAACAUUCUAGAUUAGAGCAGUCUUCAAGGCUGAGCUGAAAAGUUAAGUAAAUCAUUAUCACUUAGAGGAAGGAGAAGUCGUAACAAGGUU